This is a long non-coding RNA of Tyto alba (common barn owl), 8332 nucleotides long. RefSeq lists it as uncharacterized. The record is from RefSeq and is a predicted model, not a curated record. The transcript has 24 exons. Lineage: Eukaryota; Metazoa; Chordata; Aves; Strigiformes; Tytonidae.
UGCUGAGCAGCACGCAGCAGGAGCGUAGGCCUACCAGCCUGCCGUGGAGCGUGGAACAGACUCUCAGCCCCAUUACAACCCCGUGUAAGCCAGCCUCCUGUCAUCACAGGGCUGGCUUACACUCACCCACAUCUAGCCUCCCACACAGCACGCACAGGAGUUUUCAAAGUGGCAGGGAAGGAAGGAACAAUCUUCCCAAGCCUGGAGAAAAUCCCUUCGGUAUCAAACCAGCUGAGUUCAGGGAGAGAGAGCAGCGGAGCUGGGAACAGCGAGCAGAUGUCCUGAGUCAGCCCAAGAAACUCCAGACAGGCAUACCAGUAUAACCAUCAGCACACUGAAACAGUUCAGUCUUUGAGAGGUCCUCCAGAUUCCUCUGACAUUCCUGCUGCCUGAGAUGUUCGGCUCCGUCGGGAGACCCCUCUGUCCUAUUUCUGGUCAGGAAAGGGACGCAACUGGGCCCUGGAAGACUGACUGGCUGGAGAGUGAAGGCAGGACUGGCUCCGAGAGUGGACUCCUGGCAAUGUGGCUGAGAGCAAAUGUGAACAAACACCACUUCUUCCCUGCUGAUGGAGCAGAGCUGUUUCCUUGCCUCUCUCUGCCUGCCCUUCACACCAAAUGGGGACGGCAGCGAGGGAGCGCGCCUUGUGACCGGAGUGGGACCCGUGCACCGAGCCCUGUGUGCUUCGUCUCCAGACCCUGAGACUUCAACGUGACAAGAUUGCAAAGCCUGCUGACGACUGCAAAAUGGAGUGUCAGAUUGGUAGUGGACGGCCAGGAAAUGCCACCCUCUCCCUCCCCGAGCUCGUCUCUUUGCGGAAAGCCCUGUAUGCCAGUUAAGACUUGCUAGUGAACGAAGAGCUUGUGUCUGCCUGACGGCUUUCUGAUCAAGUCAUCUUUGCCAGCCAAAGCAGAUUCUUCUUGCCUGCUUCCAAGAGGCGUGAGCUUAAACAACUGGUCUCAGAGUGGGGCGUCUCUACAGUCUGAGCCAUGAAGAGAGGAGAUGAAAAGUUCCCCUGUUCAGCGUAUACAGAAGAGACUGGAGCUGAGCUGCUAUCUCCGUAACAGUAAAACUACAGCAAAAUCUGAAUUCUUUGUUCAUGUUUCAUUGCCUGCUUUGAGGAAAACAGUGAUCAUGAGCUCAGGCAUCAGCCUCGGGUGCCUCCAGCAUGAGAACACAUGGCUCCCUACGUGAACCUCAGCCCCAGCUUUUUUUAAUUCAGAGCCUGCCAGUGAGUUAGAGAAGCCCUAAGGUUUGCUGGGCCAAGCCAGGCUUUCACGGAAAAGACCUCUGGAGGCUCCACUCAAACGACAACAGGGGAAGCAAUACUUUGCAAUCAGGAAGCUGCUCGUUUUCGCGAUUAGCAUUGCUGUUGCCCCCGGGGGAAAGAAUGGCACUGUCUGGACAGACUUUGGAUCCACCAAAGAAACUUCCAUCUGGUACUCCACCCAAGACCCAGUUUACAAGUGGAAAAGUUGCCUGGUUCCCACGGAUGAUUUUGGAUUUAGGACCCAAGAGAUGGUGUGCUGUGUGGGGCACAGUGUCACAUGCGAGUGGUGAGAAGUGUAGUUCACCCACUAGCUUUGACAUGAGUUUCCAGCCUCAGUUUGGUAGGAAAAUGUACAGUUACUAGCCCGGAUCUCAGCGGGGAACAGGGCUGCUCUGAUUGCCAUGGAGGGAGCUGGAUCUCCAAGCUUAUCCGGAGCGAGCGGAGGUGUCCGCAGCACGGCCAGCAGUUUUUCUCAUCCCUUGCGCAGUCCGUGGAGAUGUGUUGCCAUCCCUGUGCCCGUGCCAGGAGGAGGUAUCGGCUCGCCCAGCACCGGGGUGGAUGGCUCCGAAUUCCCCUUGGGAAAGGCUACGGCAGCGUCGGCUCCUGCCUGCCCCUCGGCCUGCCCCGCUGAGAUGGGACCCGUGCCGUGAGGAGGGACCGUCCGUCCCGCCAGCCCCCGGAGCCCACGGCCUCUGCACCAGGGUCAGACCCAGGAGUGUCUCCCGGAGAGCUCCGGCUGCACUGGGGGGGGGGGGUCUCCAGCACGUGCCUCUGGUCGUCGAAGCCUCACAACAGCCCUUUUCGUCCAGACGCCACGACUUUCUGUCGAUGUCCCUCAAGCCGAGUCUGAGCCCGGAGGCACAGAGGUUACAGAGCUUUUUCCCCCCAACCAUCUGCACUCAAGAGCCGUCCUGUCUUGUAUAAUUUUCCAGUGGGGAAGAGGCAGGCUGGGCAGCGUGAACUGGAGACUGCCGUGCGCCUUGGACGUCCCGACAAGCCGUGUGUGGCCAAGACCUGCUGAAGCAUGUUGACCAGGAGAGCCGGAGACGCUGGAUUCCUAAAACCUGUGCUUUACCCAACACCUUCACAAAGUUGCCUGGAUUAAAAUUAUUCAGGAAACACAUUUUCAGACUGUCAGUGAGGUGCAUUCAUCACUCCCCUGAAUAUGCACCAGAUUGUUAAUGCUUCAGGCCAAAUACCAUGUCUUCUUUAAUGCCUACAAAAUGUAGUGCAUGUUGCUGGCUUUAUAUUUAUAAUAAUUAUAAAAGUAACGGGAGUAGCUGCAUUCCUAUAGGCUAGAAAUGGCCAAGCGCAGACGAAAAAAAUGAUUCAUUGUUGCAAUUAAUGCUUGAGCUUGCACCUGUGAUUAAUUAGCCUGGCGAUAGCACUAUGCAAAAGAUCAGGGUGAAAAUUAAUAGGGAGACCAGCGCCGACUUUAAGAUGGUUAGACUACUAUUUAGUGCUCCUUCCUUGGGCUGCCUCUGCCCAUUUAAUUAAAGGCGAUGGCACAGGCUUGCUAUGCACCAAUGGACCCAUCGGCAGGUGGUGCAGAAUAUUUAUAUAACAGUGUUCAGUAGCAAACUUCAAAAUUAAAUUCCCAUCCAGGUCUCUAAAUAUAAUUUUGAAAUGUCAGAGAUGCUACGAAGAAUGCUGGCACCGGGUGAGGUUGCUGUCAGGAAGAGGCAAGAGCGUGCCGGAUUUCUACGGUUCUAAAUACGCAGGUGACUUUCCAGCUACGGCGUUGAAGGGAGCCUGAAGCGCGCUGGUGGGCAUCCUUCAUCUGCUGGGAGGCAGAGAAACCAACAGGAACCCGUGCCGCAGAUCCGCAGACCGGUGUCUCUGAUGGGUGCGAUGGAGCAGGGGCAACUCCCGAGAGCAAGUUCCCAUGAAGCACCAACUGUUCUGAAGCACCAACCUUUUAAGUUCCCAACACAACCACGAGCAAUAUCCUGAACUGAGCGUUCUAACUUCAGGUGAAGAAAAGCAACAGAAGCAGAUGGGCUUGUAAACAGCAGAGAUCUGGCUCUCCCACAGAGGUCCUUGUGGAGUGGAAAGGAGCAGAAUGGGAGACUACUGCAGAUCCUGUGGAGUACAAGCGUCACGGAACAGAGAGACCUACGAGAGGUGAUUCCAGGUUGGGAUUUCAGAAAGCACGGCGUACUGCGGGAUAAUGUAAUGAAGAAAAGCAGCUGAAGAAAGAAAAGAUGCUCCUGCGGGUAGGUGAGCAGAAGACCUACAAGGCUGCGUUUUGGUUCCCUGCGUUCCUGAAGAGUGCUGGCAUGGCCCCGGCUGCGCGAAGUGCUGCCCGUCAGAGAUGCCCAAGUUAGGCUGUGUUCUGCAGCAGCUUCUUCUGGCAGCAGUGCCAAGGCAGCAGAGAGCAAGAGGGCAUUUGGUCCCGCAAGAUGUGGAACCAGAUCUUAAAAAAUCACCGUGGUUGCCCAUCAGAUAGAUGCUUCAGAGAAGGAGGUGUCCUGCUGCAUUCUGGUGGAGGGUUGUCGGAGAGGGAAGAGCCAGAUUUCAGAAAAAUUGCUGCUUAUCUUCCCUCCCCCAAGAUGCUGAAGCCCAGCACCUCAAACUGUUGUGACUGCCUGGGUUUGAUGACAUCUAAAAUGACACGUGUUGGAUCAUCAGAACAGAGUGGGAGCGGCACAGCUUGGCUUUGGGAGCCAAAAAUAGUACUUCCUAGAAUGACCUAGCAGCCUGAGAAGGAGCGGCUGACUGCAGAUACCGCGAUGACAACCCCAGAAGGACCUGAUGAGUGGUACCUGAUAUCUGAAUGUAAAUGUUCAUUCCAGAUGAUAUAGACAUAAACAUCCAUUUCUUCUCAGCCCUCAUGCCCUCCACAAAUGCAGCUGAUGAGCCCCCUGAGCAGUGGACGGGUCCCAGAGCUGGAGGGAGACGACAGUGCUGCGUAGCCACCGGGAAGCGUGCCUUGGCCUCUUGUCAUGAGAGCGCAGGGUGCAUGGGCUGGGGGCGGGGAGGGGGUUAAUGGGGAGCAACUGCCAAGUACAAAGAAGAAGAGGAACAAAGGAUUCCAGCCGUAUGACCCAACACGUUGGCUGUAUCUAUCAGGUAACACAAAAAAGCGCGGCAGGGUGAUGCUGCUAGUAGUAACUUUCCACACUGGGCAGAGGUGUCGUUUAAUUAAUAUCUGUGAAGUGUGCUGAGAUCACCAGGAGCAAUGGACUGUAUAUUUUCCAGGCAUCCUCUGUUGCUGGGCUAAGACUGGUUCUUUGAUUUCCCAAGCCCAGAGGCAAAUGACUGCUUCUAUGUGCUAGGUAUCGAUUCUCUUCCUUUUGUUUUUAUCCUUUCUCCUCUCCACUUUUUUCCACUCCGUUUUGAAUUGCUCUCAGUCUGCUACAGUCUCACUUCCCUGCCUUCGCCGGCACAGACACCGGGAGAAAACGGGGUGAUGUUUACAUAGCACCGAAGCACGAGGACUCGGGAGAUGUGAAACGGGGACCUGCUGCACAGCCUUUGGUGACUCACAGCACCUUUCCAUGGUUCUGCUUUUCUUCUAACUUCCUGCCAGGAUAACCUGCUAGGCUAUAACCUUUCUGGGGAAAGGACUUGCUUUUAUUGCAUGCUCCUACGGUGUCUAAUACAAUAGGACCCAACCUCAGGUAAGACCUUUAGGCACUCCCAUUAUACGAAUGAGAACAAGAUUGUUGGUGUCAGUAAUUAACAUUCUUGUGGGAUUGUUGGAAAUGCUUUGGGAUAAACACCACCUGGAAUCCUCGUCUGGCUUAUGUGGUUUUUAAGCUGCAGAGGAGGCUGAUCCUGUUCACACAGGAGGGCACGGACCGUCUGUCUCUUCUCUUACUGGAUGUGCAAAAAAUCUUUCAGUCCAAAGGUGAGUUACAGUACCUCAGUGAGAAAAGGGACGCUGGCAAAGCGAGGGCAUUGCUAGGGGGAGAAGAAUGGAGACUCAGUUGUCAGUGUCUCUCCAGCAACGAUCUCGCCUGAGAACAAAGACUAUAUGACAACCACCAAAACAGGGAAAAUUACCAAACUAAGUGUCACUGAUAACACUGUGAAUGCCUGUGGCACAGUGUCAUCCCAUGACAGGCUUCCGGAGAUGAAAUCUCCCUCUGGUUAAAUGGAUGGCAAAAAUCCCGCUGACUGCAAUAACACCAGGUUUUUCCCGUGGGGGUUACCUGGAUUUCUCUCCUGAAUGCCCAGACAGCCACAUCCCGCAUCUUUAUGCACAUACCAAUAACAAAUAAAUUAUGCUUUUCCUUUAAAGUGUGGAUUGGAUUCAGCAAACCCUGCAUUUUGGAUUCUAGGUUCCCUCUAUCUACAUCUGAAAUCCCCUAAAUAAACAAACAUUGGAUCAGACCUCAACAGCUCCCUCUGCUCAGCAACUGAAGCCUUUGAAAGCAUUUCACACCAGCUGCUCUGCUUGUAUUUCAGACUGUUAAACACCGACUCAAGCAAAGGAGCUCUGUCUUCCUCUCAAACUUCCCAGGGAACUAACCCGUUACUGGAAGGUCUGCCUCCAUAUAUGACCCUCCCCGACUCCAGUGAGGAGUUGAAAUUGUUUAGCUGUUGACAUCAGGAAUGACAUAAAUAUGUGCUGGGGUUAGAGGGUUUCUGGCAAAUGGCCUGCUAACCUAGAAUUUGCUCUGCAAAGUCAGGAGGAUGACAUUUAACCUCAGAGCAGUUUGCAAAACCACAUCUGUGACCAAUAAGUAUGAAAAAAAAAAAAAAUCUAGUCCCUGCUGAACGAUAGCAUACCUUGCUGGGCACGGUGGUGCUGGAAUCGGUAUGGAGACCUGUGCAGGAAUAAUCAGACAGGUCAUCACUGCCAGAAGUCGUCUGUGGACGUAGCUGGUGCCUCGCACACGAGGGAGGCAGCACAGCAGAUUAGGCUGAAGGUGAGUAUCUCAUAGCUGUAAGUCUUAAACUUAAUGAGCCACAUCUUUAUUUGCGCUGCAGCUCCUUCUUAUCCCAAAAUUGCCCUAACCAGCUGCUAGAGGAUGCCCAGUAAUGGAAAAUUCUCUGGAUAACAAUAAAUUGGCGUAACGAUUCAGUGUCACCUCACAUCCCGCUAACCAAUAGAGAAAUCACAAUCAGAAAAAUGGACACAACCAGCGUGCCAUUGAACAGUUGAAUCCUAAAUUCAUCACCCUUCUUGUGGGCAACAGAUAACCCAGUGCAAUUUACAGCAGCUCUGAAGUGGCUCCAAAUCUCAGCAGGAGUCAGAAAGGCUCAGUGCUAGCCUCGGGACCGAGGAGUCGCAAAAGAUGAGUGAAGUUGUCAUUGUUCCCAUACCCUUGCUUCUGCACCAAAAUACAGUAGGCUCGUUUGAAAUAUGAAGCACCUCAAGCAUAAAACAAAAUUUUAAUCACUGAAAUUAAGGUCCUCCUCUGGAUCCCCCUCAGGAGAACACUGUCUGUCUCCGAUGAUCACGCACAGACUCUCAAAGAAGGUAAAUUUUGAAUUUAAAACUCUACAUCAGUGUGUGAAUGACAGCAUUAAAUCUUGGCUGUAAGGCUGAGAUAUCUCCAAGAGGAGAAAAACACUUUUUUCACUCAACCGUGUAGCUGUGGCUGAGGUAGGCGAGGUAAAUGUAUUGUCUCCAGCUAUUACAGGGUGAGGGAAUCAUUUAUACGCGUAUAUUACGCGCUUGCAGCCUAAAGGUGUGGCUUUUUUAAUUCAAGAGUUUAAAAGUUUAGAAAUGCUGACAAUAAGGUGGCCCAUGCAACUGUAAUUUGUCCCUUUUGUGCAUUUGCAUUAUGAUUCACUCUUUAAUUGUAAUUAGAUCACACGCUGUUCUUUCGGCAGGUUCCCGGCCUCACUCAUUGUACAGAGUAGACUGUGCUCACUAAGUAAUAAUUUUAUUUUCUCCUCGCUGUUCACUAUGCGGCCCAUGCUUUAUUUACUGCACACUAUUCAAAUAUUGUUCUGAGGACAGAUUUAUUCAUUUCCUCCUGGGCUUUUCCAUGGUGCUCAUCGCUAUGGUAUCCAAGUGCUUCACAAACUCUAAUUCAUUUUCUCAACACUGUUGCGAGAACUGGUGUUACCCUUAUUUUACAGAUGAGGAACUUAGCUAUACAGACAGAAUAGUAAAAAAUACCUUUUAAAUUUAGAUACCCAGUUAGAAAUACUCAUGGCCUGAUUUUGUCAGAAAAUACAACACGGCAAAGCACCUAAUUUAGUCGAAAGUUGAAUAAAUUCUCAUUUACUGCAGAUAUAUCUGCAAGUGCUCUUCAGUUCUGCAAAUCAGAUUUCAAAAUGUCAAAUCAAGCACCUAGGAAGUAAAGACUGCACAAUUAGUGCAUCGCUGUGAAGUUUCUGUUUCAAGCACUGUGCUUGGCAUCCCAGAGGAGUUCUGAGGCUGAAGCCCUUUCCUGGAGCAGCAGUCACCCACCUCAGCCCCAGUGCCAUCCUUGCUCUCCCCGCGGUUCCUUGCAAGAGAUGACCUAAAAAAAUGCCAGCAGUUUAAUCCCGUGUUGACAUCAGUGCAGGCCAUCAGCAAUGUGGAAACUCACCCUGUAUGAGGAAUGUCGUAGUUUGCAUGCAGCCCAGCACGAGGCUCGAAGAUCCCUGACAGACGGGAUGAAAGAAGACCUGUUUAUGAUUUAACGUGAGUAUAAAUUACAGUUCGUUGCUGGUAAUCCUUCUGGCAUAUCAGAUAUCAGCGUAACUCGGCAAGCAUAAUAUGGAGAAACCCAAACAUCCUUCUGAGGAGCUCCGGAGGCAGGGUUGCCGCAGCUCCCCGCCGGUUCCCAGCAGCGCAAGGACUCCCCUUGGCAGCUCCUCCUCCGGCUCGCCAAACCCGCACGGGUAACCGGCUUGGGCUUUGCAGCCGCGCUGGGCUCUGGCUACGAGAGGAGGGUGUGUGUGUGUGUGUGUGGGGAGGGAAAUAAAAAAGUUUAUUUCACGGAAAGACGGGAACUUUAGCGCACCGCUCCCGUUGCGGGCGCCCGCAGCGCCGGUAGGUCGGGAGCGACGGAACAAGCGAACCGGCGGGUUUUGGCCCCGUCCCCCGCGGGAUCGGGCCGGGGUGCCCGGUGCCGAGCUCCCCGCAGAGCCGGGCGGUGGGUGCGGGUGUGGGUGUG